RNAcentral lists this long non-coding RNA (707 nucleotides) under Penaeus japonicus. RNAcentral's name for it is "uncharacterized LOC122245778". Lineage: Eukaryota; Metazoa; Arthropoda; Malacostraca; Decapoda; Penaeidae. The record is from RNAcentral.
CGAGCUGCCAGUGAGCCUUGGGUGAGACAGAAUCUGUAAAAAGGCAGUCAGUCAGCUGUUGUACUUCAGCGUGUGAGUUUAUACGUAUGCAAAAUGUCAUACUGCAAGCAUUAAAUAACAAAAAAGCUUAAUACAACUGAAAAAAAACAAACAAACAAACAACUACAGAUCGUGCUAUGUCUCGAUCAGUGUAAAAUCCAAGAAAAAGAAAAGAAAAUAAAAAUCCCCAACAGAGUGAAGUGAAGUGUUAAUCCCUAGCCAUAAAACUUAAGCCAGAAGAAGCCCCCUCGCGAACAGCCGGUUAACCAGGAAUCUCGGAUAACCGGGCUGAAUUUCGGAUAACCGAGGCAUCCACCAUGAGAAUUGACGGAGAAAACGGAGCUCCUCUGUCACCCGGUUCUUCUGCAGCAUCCAACUCCUCCGCAGGUUGGUAACGAGUCUAGAGCGCUACACAAGGUAAUCAAGAAUGUGUAAAAAAAAUGCAUUCUGGUUCCCCACUGCGAUAAUUGCUUGCUUGUUAUCCUUCUCGUGCACAUAUGCAUAUGAAUGUAUAAACACAUUUGCAUAUGCAGAUAAAAAAAGACGACGAGAGGGAGAUAGAGAGAUAAGAAAAAUGUAUCUUUUGUAUUACCGUAACUGCCGUGACUUCCUGUUCAGUACAGAAUGCCGGGAGAAUUAUCAUGAUUGUUAUCUCUAGCACCUCAAGA